Molecule: RNA transcript, 3117 nt
Organism: Sorghum bicolor (sorghum)
Lineage: Eukaryota; Viridiplantae; Streptophyta; Magnoliopsida; Poales; Poaceae
Gene name: root phototropism protein 2
Exons: 5
Source: RefSeq, a predicted model, not a curated record
GAUUUUUAGUUGCUGCGCGCGCGCGCGGCGGCGUCGGCGUCGGCGGCUCUGCUCGUGCUGCGUCCGUCGACGACCCUCGGAAAAACACCAGCCAUGCAAAAAAAAUCGCCGUAUCCAAUCCAAUCAGAUCUUCCUCCCAAAUCGAUCGGCAAAUCCAUUACUAGCUAGCCUAGCCUGCUUCUGUACUAUACGUAUACGGUAUACUACUAAAAUAAUAAUGCUCCUUCCUGCUGCCAAGAAACUUAUAUGAGGCCAGCUGCUCGAGCUCGAUGAGCCGGAUGGGACCUCUUCUCUAGUAGUAUAUAUGAGAGCGAGAUGAGGUGGGUCUGAAGACUGUGCCCUGCGAGCUCAGCUCCAUCGGAGAGCUUUGCAGUUUGCACUGCACAGCUCUGACUCUAAGGACUGUGAUCCUUGUGUGCACUGCCUAGCCGCCAUGGCUGCUUCCUCCAUGGACAGGAUCACCCAGUGGGUGUCCUCCCAGGUCCAGCAGGUCUCCGCCGACCUCACCGUCAGGAUCGCCGACUCCGUCUUCCCUCUCCACAAGGCGGUGAUGGUGCCCAAGUGCGGCUACAUCCGCCGGGCCGUGGCAGCGGCGGCGGCGGUGGCGACGAGCCAGACGCAGGGCCCGGGGCCCGCCUCCGUCGAGCUGGACCUCUCGGCGCUGCCGGGCGGCGCCGACGCCUUCGAGAAGGCGGCGCGCUACUGCUACGGGGGCAGCCUGGAGAUCACGGCGCGCGACGCGGCGGCGGUCCGCUGCGCCGCGGCGUUCCUCGACGCCCCGGACCUGGCGCGCCGCGCCGAGGACUACCUCGCGCAGACCGCGCUCCGGUCGCUGCCAGGCGCCGCCGCCGUGCUGCGGUCCUGCGAGUGCGAGGCGCUGCUCCGGGCCGCCGAGGAGACCGGCGUCGCGCGCCGCGCCGCGGACGCCGUCGCGCUCGGGGUCUGCAACGAGGCGCUGUUCCCGACGGCGCGGGCGGCACCUGGGUGGUGGGUGGCCGAGCUCGCCGCGCUGUCGCCCGCGUCGUUCCGGAAGGUGGUCACCGCGCUGCGGUGCCGCCGCGCGGGUCCGGAGGUGGUGGCCGCCGCGGCCGUCGCGUACGCGGAGCGCGUCCUGGCCGGGGUCCUCGCACCCGCUGCGCCCGGCCGCCGGGACGCCGUCGUCGUCGUCGCGAGGAACGCGGACGCGGACGCGGACCGGCGGGCGCUGCUUGAGGCCGUCGUGGACGCGCUGCCUCCCGCGGCCGACGCGCCGCUCCCGGCCGCGUUCCUCUGCCGCCUCCUGCACGCCGUGGUCACCGCCGAGGCGUCCGCCAAGACGUGCCGCGACAUGGAGCUCCGCGUGGCGGGCGUGCUGCACCAGGCCACCGCGGGGGACCUGCUGGGCGUCGCGCUCGACGGCGCCGGGGAGCGCGUCCGGAACGCGGACACCGUGCGCCGCGUCGUGGCCGCGUUCGUCGAGCGGCCGCAGACGCAGGAGGGCCGGCGGGCGUCGCUGGCCGGAGGACCAGCAGCAGGCGAGCUCGGCGCGCUGGAGAAGGUGGCGAAGACGGUGGACGAGGUGGCGGCGGAGAUGGCGACGGAGGAGUCGCUGGGCAUCUCCAAGUUCGUGGGCGUGGCGGGCGCGGUGCCCAAGGACGCGCGGGCGUCGCACGACUGCCUGUACCGCGCCGUGGACAUGUACCUGAAGACGCACCCGGGGCUGGACGAGAUCGAGAGGGAGAAGGUGUGCAGCGUCAUGGACCCGCUCAGGCUCUCGUACCAGGCGCGCCUGCACGCGUCGCAGAACAAGCGCCUGCCGCUGCAGGCCGUGCUCAGCGCGCUCUACUACGACCAGCUCAAGCUCCGCAGCGCCGACGGCGGCGGCGGCGAUGGUGCGGAGGGAGGAGCAGGGUGGGAGCCGCAGUCGGCCGCCGGGAAGGCUCGAGCGCAGGCGCGGGCGGACGCGUCGCUGGCGAGGGAGAACGAGGCGCUGAGGUCGGAGCUGGCGAGGAUGCGGGCGUACGUGUCGGGGAUGCAGCAGCACAGCAAGGGGAGCGGGUCGAGGUCGUCGUCGGCGUCGCUGGUGCCGGCGUCGGCGGCGGGGAAGAAGGCGAGCUUCUUGGGGUCGGUGUCACGGACGUUGAGCCGGCUGAACCCGUUCAAGGGCGGGUGGGCCAAGGACACGGCCAGCAUCGCCGACGGACGUGACAGGAGCGCCAUGCAUGUGGUCAAGCCCAAGAGGAGAAGAAAGCACGACAAAUGGGUUGCGGAUAACUGGGGAGCACCUGCAGCAAGUCUGCCGAGACUGACAAAGAGGAUCAUGGGACGCUUCUUCCUGGCAGAGCUGUUGGUUCCUCUGCUGCUUCCACAACUAAACUAAUAAAUAGGGUUUAAGAAGAUUCUUCGUUGACUGAUGUGUUCUUCCUAGGCAAAAAGGAUGUCGAAGAAGAAGCAAAGAUCACCGCCAUGGUCUCACCUCACUCCAGAGCUCCUCGCCCUGGUGUUCCUCUGCCUCCCUAGGUGUGCAGAUCGUGCCUUGUUUACAGCCGUCUGCGGCGCUUGGCGCUCUGCGGUGCAGCAGUGCCGCCUGCAGCCGUCGCCAGUGCCGUGGCUCGUACUUCCCGAGCGGCGGUGAGAUACUGGCACUGUGCCGACCUGGAGAUGUUGCAUGGUCUGUGGGAACAAACGAAGACUGCCAGCGGCUCUUAGACAUAGUCUUCUUCAGGGGGAAGCUCUACGCUAUUGGUGACUACAGUGGGCAGCAGUAUCUUCUUGCCAUUGAAAUUGUGGAUGAGAAUGGCAACAGUGAGCCAAGGGUGUCUCAAAUUGAGUUCAUAUUCGUUGGAGUCCCCAUAACAUCCCACUGUUCCUACCUUGUUGAAUUGCAUGGCAGAUUGCUGGUGAUCUGCAGGCAAAUCUAUCGUCAGUUCAUCACAUUCACCUCGCUCUGAUGCGCUUGGAUAAAGUACCUGUUGCUUGUUUUGCUAGUCUGUAUUGCCCAACUGCCCAUUUGUGCUGGCUGUGUAAAGCAGAUGCUGUAAUGGUGCUCUUCCCACUGGGUGUUUCUUUCUGAAGUUGAUGAGGACCGACCUCUGUUAAUGAUUACCCAAGUGAUUUGUUAGGCAAUGUUUAUGCUCA